This 32-nucleotide non-coding RNA is filed under the name Homo sapiens (human). The record is from RNAcentral. Lineage: Eukaryota; Metazoa; Chordata; Mammalia; Primates; Hominidae.
CCACCAAUGAUAGACUAAAUCAAGAAAACGUG